GAGGCCACAGCUCAGCGACAGAGCAUCUGCAUUGCAUGCAGAAGGUCCUAGGUUCAAUCCCAAGUGGGCUCC
Non-coding RNA from Podarcis lilfordi (Lilford's wall lizard), 72 nucleotides. NCBI's taxonomy places the organism in Eukaryota, Metazoa, Chordata, Lepidosauria, Squamata, Lacertidae. The record is from the annotation of a GenBank genome assembly.